Molecule: long non-coding RNA, 750 nt
Filed under: Androctonus crassicauda
Lineage: Eukaryota; Metazoa; Arthropoda; Arachnida; Scorpiones; Buthidae
Source: RNAcentral
AUUAUUUUUACAUAGAAUUAGAAUUGCAUAAUAUAUUGGCUUCUGUUGACUAUUCACGUUCUCGAAAAUGUGUAGCCUAAAAUUUGGGAAAGACAAACUCUUAAAAACCUUUCCUGCUUUUUCAAAAGAAUCAUUAAAUAUAAUCAUUUAUUAUUCUGAGCAAUGUGUCUUUACCAGGUACGAGUCCUCUAAAAGAAUCUUAAAUUCCAACAACAAACGCAAUUUAGUGAAGAUUUCUUUUAAACUGAGAGAACCAUGUGAGAACUCUGUGACAAUCCUUGUUUGAUUUUUGAGCAAUAUAAGCAACUCUAAUUAUCUCUAAAAAAGUACACAAAUAAAAUUUUUUGGUUGUCUAAGUCUAGAAAUGGACCACUAAUGGAAAAGUUGUUGAGCUGCCAAUCAUUUCUUUCAAAUGAUCUUAAGUGCAUUAUAUUUAAUGCAUAGAGCUGGCCCAUAUCCAAUAAAGGAACGAGAAGCCCCUUUCUCUACCACAGAUAUACUGAACAAAUAUAGUAUACCAAUAUACAGUAUAUAAGAUAUUGCUACAUUGGUUUAAUAUUUCGAAUGACAUAGUAUAAGCAGAGAUAUCUGUAUAGAGAGAUUGAAGAAAAUGAAACAUAGAUUUUGAACUGCUCUAUUCCAUUUGCAAAAUACUAUAAAAUAUUACACAAUUGGUUUUAUCGAUAGUAAAUGUUUUGCUGUAUUUUACACAAUUUUUUUAGCGAAACUGAUUAUUUACUAAAUUCAUUU